RNAcentral lists this ribosomal RNA (2900 nucleotides) under Escherichia coli. RNAcentral describes it as "23S ribosomal RNA". It matches the Rfam family "Bacterial large subunit ribosomal RNA". Lineage: Bacteria; Pseudomonadati; Pseudomonadota; Gammaproteobacteria; Enterobacterales; Enterobacteriaceae. The record is from RNAcentral.
UUAAGCGACUAAGCGUACACGGUGGAUGCCCUGGCAGUCAGAGGCGAUGAAGGACGUGCUAAUCUGCGAUAAGCGUCGGUAAGGUGAUAUGAACCGUUAUAACCGGCGAUUUCCGAAUGGGGAAACCCAGUGUGAUUCGUCACACUAUCAUUAACUGAAUCCAUAGGUUAAUGAGGCGAACCGGGGGAACUGAAACAUCUAAGUACCCCGAGGAAAAGAAAUCAACCGAGAUUCCCCCAGUAGCGGCGAGCGAACGGGGAGGAGCCCAGAGCCUGAAUCAGUGUGUGUGUUAGUGGAAGCGUCUGGAAAGGCGCGCGAUACAGGGUGACAGCCCCGUACACAAAAAUGCACAUGCUGUGAGCUCGAUGAGUAGGGCGGGACACGUGGUAUCCUGUCUGAAUAUGGGGGGACCAUCCUCCAAGGCUAAAUACUCCUGACUGACCGAUAGUGAACCAGUACCGUGAGGGAAAGGCGAAAAGAACCCCGGCGAGGGGAGUGAAAAAGAACCUGAAACCGUGUACGUACAAGCAGUGGGAGCCUCUUUUAUGGGGUGACUGCGUACCUUUUGUAUAAUGGGUCAGCGACUUAUAUUCUGUAGCAAGGUUAACCGAAUAGGGGAGCCGAAGGGAAACCGAGUCUUAACUGGGCGUUAAGUUGCAGGGUAUAGACCCGAAACCCGGUGAUCUAGCCAUGGGCAGGUUGAAGGUUGGGUAACACUAACUGGAGGACCGAACCGACUAAUGUUGAAAAAUUAGCGGAUGACUUGUGGCUGGGGGUGAAAGGCCAAUCAAACCGGGAGAUAGCUGGUUCUCCCCGAAAGCUAUUUAGGUAGCGCCUCGUGAAUUCAUCUCCGGGGGUAGAGCACUGUUUCGGCAAGGGGGUCAUCCCGACUUACCAACCCGAUGCAAACUGCGAAUACCGGAGAAUGUUAUCACGGGAGACACACGGCGGGUGCUAACGUCCGUCGUGAAGAGGGAAACAACCCAGACCGCCAGCUAAGGUCCCAAAGUCAUGGUUAAGUGGGAAACGAUGUGGGAAGGCCCAGACAGCCAGGAUGUUGGCUUAGAAGCAGCCAUCAUUUAAAGAAAGCGUAAUAGCUCACUGGUCGAGUCGGCCUGCGCGGAAGAUGUAACGGGGCUAAACCAUGCACCGAAGCUGCGGCAGCGACACUAUGUGUUGUUGGGUAGGGGAGCGUUCUGUAAGCCUGUGAAGGUGUACUGUGAGGUAUGCUGGAGGUAUCAGAAGUGCGAAUGCUGACAUAAGUAACGAUAAAGCGGGUGAAAAGCCCGCUCGCCGGAAGACCAAGGGUUCCUGUCCAACGUUAAUCGGGGCAGGGUGAGUCGACCCCUAAGGCGAGGCCGAAAGGCGUAGUCGAUGGGAAACAGGUUAAUAUUCCUGUACUUGGUGUUACUGCGAAGGGGGGACGGAGAAGGCUAUGUUGGCCGGGCGACGGUUGUCCCGGUUUAAGCGUGUAGGCUGGUUUUCCAGGCAAAUCCGGAAAAUCAAGGCUGAGGCGUGAUGACGAGGCACUACGGUGCUGAAGCAACAAAUGCCCUGCUUCCAGGAAAAGCCUCUAAGCAUCAGGUAACAUCAAAUCGUACCCCAAACCGACACAGGUGGUCAGGUAGAGAAUACCAAGGCGCUUGAGAGAACUCGGGUGAAGGAACUAGGCAAAAUGGUGCCGUAACUUCGGGAGAAGGCACGCUGAUAUGUAGGUGAAGUCCCUCGCGGAUGGAGCUGAAAUCAGUCGAAGAUACCAGCUGGCUGCAACUGUUUAUUAAAAACACAGCACUGUGCAAACACGAAAGUGGACGUAUACGGUGUGACGCCUGCCCGGUGCCGGAAGGUUAAUUGAUGGGGUCAGCGCAAGCGAAGCUCUUGAUCGAAGCCCCGGUAAACGGCGGCCGUAACUAUAACGGUCCUAAGGUAGCGAAAUUCCUUGUCGGGUAAGUUCCGACCUGCACGAAUGGCGUAAUGAUGGCCAGGCUGUCUCCACCCGAGACUCAGUGAAAUUGAACUCGCUGUGAAGAUGCAGUGUACCCGCGGCAAGACGGAAAGACCCCGUGAACCUUUACUAUAGCUUGACACUGAACAUUGAGCCUUGAUGUGUAGGAUAGGUGGGAGGCUUUGAAGUGUGGACGCCAGUCUGCAUGGAGCCGACCUUGAAAUACCACCCUUUAAUGUUUGAUGUUCUAACGUGGACCCGUGAUCCGGGUUGCGGACAGUGUCUGGUGGGUAGUUUGACUGGGGCGGUCUCCUCCUAAAGAGUAACGGAGGAGCACGAAGGUUGGCUAAUCCUGGUCGGACAUCAGGAGGUUAGUGCAAUGGCAUAAGCCAGCUUGACUGCGAGCGUGACGGCGCGAGCAGGUGCGAAAGCAGGUCAUAGUGAUCCGGUGGUUCUGAAUGGAAGGGCCAUCGCUCAACGGAUAAAAGGUACUCCGGGGAUAACAGGCUGAUACCGCCCAAGAGUUCAUAUCGACGGCGGUGUUUGGCACCUCGAUGUCGGCUCAUCACAUCCUGGGGCUGAAGUAGGUCCCAAGGGUAUGGCUGUUCGCCAUUUAAAGUGGUACGCGAGCUGGGUUUAGAACGUCGUGAGACAGUUCGGUCCCUAUCUGCCGUGGGCGCUGGAGAACUGAGGGGGGCUGCUCCUAGUACGAGAGGACCGGAGUGGACGCAUCACUGGUGUUCGGGUUGUCAUGCCAAUGGCACUGCCCGGUAGCUAAAUGCGGAAGAGAUAAGUGCUGAAAGCAUCUAAGCACGAAACUUGCCCCGAGAUGAGUUCUCCCUGACUCCUUGAGAGUCCUGAAGGAACGUUGAAGACGACGACGUUGAUAGGCCGGGUGUGUAAGCGCAGCGAUGCGUUGAGCUAACCGGUACUAAUGAACCGUGAGGCUUAACCU